GCCGUAGGUGAACCUGCGGAAGGAUCAUUACCGAGUGCGGGUCCUUUGGGCCCAACCUCCCAUCCGUUUCGAUUAUACCCUGUUGCUUCGGCGGGCCCGCCGCUUGUCGGCCGCCGGGGGGGCGCCUUUGCCCCCCGUGCCCGUGCCCGCCGGAGACCCCAACACGAACACUGUCUGAAAGCGUGCAGUCUGAGUUGAUUGAAUGCAAUCAGUUAAAACUUUCAACAAUGGAUCUCUUGGUUCCGGCAUCGAUGAAGAACGCAGCGAAAUGCGAUAACUAAUGUGAAUUGCAGAAUUCAGUGAAUCAUCGAGUCUUUGAACGCACAUUGCGCCCCCUGGUAUUCCGGGGGGCAUGCCUGUCCGAGCGUCAUUGCUGCCCUCAAGCCCGGCUUGUGUGUUGGGUCGCCGUCCCCCUCUCCGGGGGGACGGGCCCGAAAGGCAGCGGCGGCACCGCGUCCGAUCCUCGAGCGUAUGGGGCUUUGUCACAUGCGCUGUAGGAUUGGCCGGCGCCUGCCGACGUUUUCCAACCAUUUUUUCCAGGUUGACCUCGGAUCAGGUAGAGAUACCCGCUGAACUUAAGCAUAUCAAUAAGGCCGGA
RNAcentral lists this unclassified non-coding RNA (598 nucleotides) under Aspergillus niger. RNAcentral's name for it is "sequence contains 18S rRNA gene, ITS1, 5.8S rRNA gene, ITS2 and 28S rRNA gene". The stretch from base 217 to 370 matches the Rfam family "5.8S ribosomal RNA". Lineage: Eukaryota; Fungi; Ascomycota; Eurotiomycetes; Eurotiales; Aspergillaceae. The record is from RNAcentral.